RNAcentral lists this RNase P RNA (324 nucleotides) under bacterium. RNAcentral's name for it is "RNase P RNA component class A". It matches the Rfam family "Bacterial RNase P class A". Rfam says of the family: Ribonuclease P (RNase P) is a ubiquitous endoribonuclease, found in archaea, bacteria and eukarya as well as chloroplasts and mitochondria. Its best characterised activity is the generation of mature 5'-ends of tRNAs by cleaving the 5'-leader elements of precursor-tRNAs. Cellular RNase Ps are ribonucleoproteins. The record is from RNAcentral.
UAAGAUGCGCAGGACAUAGCUGGCUCGCAAGAGCUGGAGGAAAGUCCGGACUGCACGGGACAGCAUACCGGUUAACGGCCGGGCGGGGUGACCCGACGAUCAGAGGAACAGUGACGAAUCGAUUAAGUUCGAGUGAAACGGCCAAUCUCUAUGUGCAGCAACUUCAAAUAGGCCCCCAAUGACAGUCCCAGGAGGGGGCGGGUAGAAGGCUUGACGGCCAUGGGAACAUGGUUCGCAGACUAAUUAUGUCCACUACCCGGGCGUGGUUGUGAAAAGACUGGGCCCGUGGCAGGACAGAAUCCGGCUUAUCGUGCAUCUGCACGC